GUCAGACGCAGUUUCCGGUUCCGUUUGCGGCGACUGAUUUUUAAGGUAAUGCGGUCCGAUAGUCCUGCGAAGGCGUGCGCCAGAGAGGUGGUGGGCCUUCACGCAUCACUAGCUGAGGUGAGCCGCCAACUUGGCGUAUACUGACCAGCCUCGAACCCGCCAUGCACGUGGACAGCCAAGCCGUGUGCUGCUGCCUCACGUGGAGUCUUCCUCUAGAAUGAUCUUUUAGCAUAAAAAUAUCAUUAUUGUGUAUGUAUGAUCUAUGUGCAUACACCUGCCACAGCGUGUGAAUAGAAGUCAGAAGACAACUUUGUGUGGUCAGAUCCCUACUUCCGCCUAUUAUAAAGGAUCCAGUGAUGGAACUCUGGGGUGCAGGAUUCCAGACACCGUACAAAGAUGUUUGCAAGAAAAGCAGAGGUAAAAAUAGCUGCUCCAAAAGUCAGACACCUGUGUGGGUUAAGUCACCCCAGCAUCCGGGAGCUUUUAUUCAUUCUUACAUUGCUGUAAGUAGUUUUAAAUAAAUAAAUAAAUAAAUAAAUAAAUAAAUAAAUAAAGGAA
This is a non-coding RNA of Rattus norvegicus (Norway rat), 558 nucleotides long. The record is from RefSeq and is a predicted model, not a curated record. Lineage: Eukaryota; Metazoa; Chordata; Mammalia; Rodentia; Muridae.